RNAcentral lists this ribosomal RNA (373 nucleotides) under uncultured organism. Its description in RNAcentral is "partial 16S ribosomal RNA". It matches the Rfam family "Bacterial small subunit ribosomal RNA", at positions 527 to 896 of the family's 1533-position model. The record is from RNAcentral.
GUAGGUGGCAAGCGUUGUCCGGAAUUAUUGGGCGUAAAGCGCGCGCAGGUGGUUCUUUAGGUCUGAUGUGAAAGCCCCCGGCUCAACCGGGGAGGGUCAUUGGAAACUGGGGAACUUGAGUGCAGGAGAGGAAAGUGGAAUUCCACGUGUAGCGGUGAAAUGCGUAGAUAUGUGGAGGAACACCAGUGGCGAAGGCGACUUUCUGGCCUGUAACUGACACUGAGGCGCGAAGCGUGGGGAGCAAACAGGGAUUAGAUACCCUGGUAGUCCACGCCGUAAACGAUGAGUGCUAAGUGUUGGGGGGGUUUCCCGCCCCUCAGUGCUGCAGCUAACGCAUUAAGCACUCCGCCUGGGGAGUACGGUCGCAAGACUG